UGAGGCGAACCGGGGGAACUGAAACAUCUAAGUACCCCGAGGAAAAGAAAUCAACCGAGAUUCCCCCAGUAGCGGCGAGCGAACGGGGAGGAGCCCAGAGCCUGAAUCAGUGUGUGUGUUAGUGGAAGCGUCUGGAAAGGCGCGCGAUACAGGGUGACAGCCCCGUACACAAAAAUGCACAUAUUGUGAGCUCGAUGAGUAGGGCGGGACACGUGGUAUCCUGUCUGAAUAUGGGGGGACCAUCCUCCAAGGCUAAAUACUCCUGACUGACCGAUAGUGAACCAGUACCGUGAGGGAAAGGCGAAAAGAACCCCGGCGAGGGGAGUGAAAAAGAACCUGAAACCGUGUACGUACAAGCAGUGGGAGCCUCUUAAUGGGGUGACUGCGUACCUUUUGUAUAAUGGGUCAGCGACUUAUAUUCUGUAGCAAGGUUAACCGAAUAGGGGAGCCGAAGGGAAACCGAGUCUUAACUGGGCGUUAAGUUGCAGGGUAUAGACCCGAAACCCGGUGAUCUAGCCAUGGGCAGGUUGAAGGUUGGGUAACACUAACUGGAGGACCGAACCGACUAAUGUUGAAAAAUUAGCGGAUGACUUGUGGCUGGGGGUGAAAGGCCAAUCAAACCGGGAGAUAGCUGGUUCUCCCCGAAAGCUAUUUAGGUAGCGCCUCGUGAAUUCAUCUCCGGGGGUAGAGCACUGUUUCGGCAAGGGGGUCAUCCCGACUUACCAACCCGAUGCAAACUGCGAAUACCGGAGAAUGUUAUCACGGGAGACACACGGCGGGUGCUAACGUCCGUCGUGAAGAGGGAAACAACCCAGACCGCCAGCUAAGGUCCCAAAGUCAUGGUUAAGUGGGAAACGAUGUGGGAAGGCCCAGACAGCCAGGAUGUUGGCUUAGAAGCAGCCAUCAUUUAAAGAAAGCGUAAUAGCUCACUGGUCGAGUCGGCCUGCGCGGAAGAUGUAACGGGGCUAAACCAUGCACCGAAGCUGCGGCAGCGACACUAUGUGUUGUUGGGUAGGGGAGCG
RNAcentral lists this ribosomal RNA (1022 nucleotides) under Escherichia coli. Its description in RNAcentral is "partial 23S ribosomal RNA". It matches the Rfam family "Bacterial large subunit ribosomal RNA", at positions 175 to 1238 of the family's 2925-position model. Lineage: Bacteria; Pseudomonadati; Pseudomonadota; Gammaproteobacteria; Enterobacterales; Enterobacteriaceae. The record is from RNAcentral.